Molecule: long non-coding RNA, 359 nt
Filed under: Pan troglodytes (chimpanzee)
Lineage: Eukaryota; Metazoa; Chordata; Mammalia; Primates; Hominidae
Description: long non-coding RNA NONPTRT012838
Source: RNAcentral
UUUUGACAGAAAAGAGGAGUGAUGAUGAAUGUCUUGAACAAAAACCAGCUCAGCCCGGUAGGAAAUGGCACGAACUCGGACUUCCUCCUGUUUCCCCGCGUGACUGUGUCAAAGAUGCCGUGGCAGCAGAAGUGUUUGAUCACGUCUGGACAAAUAUGGUAGAACUUUUGGAAGAGCUGAUUAGAAAACACUGGGAAACUACACUCACAGAAGGGAAAAAACAGAGAGAAACAUUGAAAGUGGCUGGAAACAGAUUUCCGCACGUCCUCAUUCCACGCGCUCACGCCGAUGGAGCCAGUGGCCCCCCGUCCGGACGCUCCGAGGCUCACGGCAUCUCCCUGGCUUCUCGUCCGAACCCG